UAUUUUUUAAUCAAUAAACGAUAUAAUGGGCAAAAACAACCUUCUUCGUAAAUUCACACCUUUACGAUACCGAAAACGAGACUGAAAAUGUAAUACCGGAUCUGACGUCACAACCCAUCAUUGGCGGUUUCUUCACAACAAGACGAGAGUAUAAAAGAAGAAAAUAUUCGAAGAGAAAUGGCAAGUAAGAGUAAGGGACGCAUGUGUGUAGUUGUAGGAAGCAACAACAGGCCCUCGGACACCAUUUCCGUCCAUGUUUUCCCGAAGGACGAGCGACAGAGAGCAGCAUAGACUCGAUUUGUGAGACUGACCCGUGCAGACUGGACAGGAUCGUCCCAGUAUACUGUUGUUUGUAGUGGACAUUUCACGGACGGAUGUUUCCAGGCUCAGUUUUCACUGAUGAGAGAAUUUGUAAUUCCUGCGAAAAAACGCCUCUGCUCUGGUGUGAUUCUAUCGAUUUAUUCUAAGAGGAAAGUGGACGACCUCAACCUUGCCCUCCUCUCUUCGCCCGAGCCUAAACCCAAGCGCCAGGCUGCCGUCAAGCUGGAGAAAAAUAGGAAUUCCUCAAGGCUGCAUGACAUAACGAAGGAGGGGGACCAACAAUUUAAAAUCAGCUUCCCGAAGUUCAAGUGUUCGUAGGAAGCCUGUUGAUCCACCAAUUACCCAUCAGUCCUGAUGAAGGAGACUUAUUUGGUUUUUCAAGGGUCAUCAGAACCAUUACCAUGCUCAUUGCCAGCUCAACCACCUCCACUGUGCAGUGAAUUUUUC
Ostrea edulis (European flat oyster) is the source of this 768-nucleotide long non-coding RNA. RefSeq lists it as uncharacterized. The record is from RefSeq and is a predicted model, not a curated record. The transcript has 3 exons. Lineage: Eukaryota; Metazoa; Mollusca; Bivalvia; Ostreida; Ostreidae.